Molecule: ribosomal RNA, 445 nt
Filed under: Paenibacillus sp. IR22
Lineage: Bacteria; Bacillati; Bacillota; Bacilli; Caryophanales; Paenibacillaceae
Description: bacterial SSU rRNA
Rfam family: Bacterial small subunit ribosomal RNA
Source: RNAcentral
AAGUUAACACAUUAAGCACUCCGCCUGGGGAGUACGGUCGCAAGACUGAAACUCAAAGGAAUUGACGGGACCCGCACAAGCAGUGGAGUAUGUGGUUUAAUUCGAAGCAACGCGAAGAACCUUACCAGGUCUUGACAUCCCUCUGACCGGUACAGAGGGACCUUCCUUCGGGACAGAGGAGACAGGUGGUGCAUGGUUGUCGUCAGCUCGUGUCGUGAGAUGUUGGGUUAAGUCCCGCAACGAGCGCAACCCUUGAUCUUAGUUGCCAGCACUUCGGAUGGGCACUCUAAGGUGACUGCCGGUGACAAACCGGAGGAAGGUGGGGAUGACGUCAAAUCAUCAUGCCCCUUAUGACCUGGGCUACACACGUACUACAAUGGCCGGUACAACGGGCUGUGAAGCCGCGAGGUGGAACGAAUCCUAAAAAGCCGGUCUCAGUUCGGAU